Molecule: ribosomal RNA, 231 nt
Filed under: uncultured bacterium
Lineage: Bacteria
Description: partial 16S ribosomal RNA
Rfam family: Bacterial small subunit ribosomal RNA
Source: RNAcentral
CGGACGGGUGAGUAAUGUCUGGGAAACUGCCUGAUGGAGGGGGAUAACUACUGGAAACGGUAGCUAAUACCGCAUAACGUCGCAAGACCGAAGAGGGGGACCUUAGGGCCUCUUGCCAUCGGAUGUGCCAGAUGGGAUUAGCUAGUAGGUGGGGUAACGGCUCACCUAGGCGACGAUCCCUAGCUGGUCUGAGAGGAUGACCAGCCACACUGGAACUGAGACACGGUCCAG